Molecule: small RNA, 202 nt
Filed under: Paramuricea clavata
Lineage: Eukaryota; Metazoa; Cnidaria; Anthozoa; Malacalcyonacea; Plexauridae
Source: RNAcentral
GCGCUAUUUAGGGGGGAGGGCAAGGGUGGGAGAAGCUAGGGGGGGGAUGCGAAGGCGAGAGAAAGAGAGCGAGGAAAAAUGGGAAGGGCGAGAAAGAAAUAGCUAUUUCCUUCUCGCCCCUUCCAUUUUUCCUCGCUCUCUUUCUCUCGCCUUCGCAUCCCCCCUAGCUCCUCCCACCCUCGCCCUCCCCCCUAAAUAGCGC